GGGGAAUAUUGCACAAUGGAGGAAACUCUGAUGCAGCGACGCCGCGUGAAGGAUGAAGUAUUUCGGUAUGUAAACUUCUAUCAGCAGGGAAGAUAGUGACGGUACCUGACUAAGAAGCCCCGGCUAACUACGUGCCAGCAGCCGCGGUAAUACGUAGGGGGCAAGCGUUAUCCGGAUUUACUGGGUGUAAAGGGAGCGUAGGCGGGACGGUAAGUCAGGUGUGAAAUAUACGUGCUCAACAUGUAGACUGCACUUGAAACUGCUGUUCUUGAGUGAAGUAGAGGUAAGCGGAAUUCCUAGUGUAGCGGUGAAAUGCGUAGAUAUUAGGAGGAACAUCGGUGGCGAAGGCGGCUUACUGGGCUUUUACUGACGCUGAGGCUCGAAAGCGUGGGGAGCAAACAGGAUUAGAUACCCUGGUAGUCCACGCUGUAAACGAUGAUUACUAGGUGUGGGGGGACUGACCCCUUCCGUGCCGCAGUUAACACGAUAAGUAAUCCACCUGGGGAGUACGACCGCAAGGUUGAAACUCAAAGGAAUUGACGGGGGCCCGCACAAGCAGUGGAGUAUGUGGUUUAAUUCGAAGCAACGCGAAGAACCUUACCAGGUCUUGACAUCGUAUGCAUAGUCUAGAGAUAGAUGAAAUCCCUUCGGGGACAUAUAGACAGGUGGUGCAUGGUUGUCGUCAGCUCGUGUCGUGAGAUGUUGGGUUAAGUCCCGCAACGAGCGCAACCCUUAUUGUCAGUAGCCAGCAGGUGAAGCUGGGCACUCUGAUGAGACUGCCGGGGAUAACCCGGAGGAAGGUGGGGAUGACGUCAAAUCAUCAUGCCCCUUAUGAGCAGGGCUACACACGUGCUACAAUGGCGUAAACAGAGGGAAGCGAAGGAGUGAUCUGGAGCAAAUCUCAAAAAUAACGUCUCAGUUCGGAUUGUAGUCUGCAACUCGACUACAUGAAGCUGGAAUCGCUAGUAAUCGCAGAUCAGAAUGCUGCGGUGAAUACGUUCCCG
Molecule: ribosomal RNA, 1004 nt
Filed under: uncultured bacterium
Lineage: Bacteria
Description: bacterial SSU rRNA
Rfam family: Bacterial small subunit ribosomal RNA
Source: RNAcentral